UUUAAUUUUAUUAAAAGUGACGGGCGAUAUGUGCAUGUCAAAUUUCUUUUUCAUUGCAAAAUUUUAUUAUUGUUCUUACUUUUAAAUCCUUUUUGAUUUAAUUCUCUUUUUAAUCUGGUUUUAUUUGUAAAGCAUUCCACAAAUUCUUUUAUAUUAUCUUUGUCUUGAUUUGUUUUUUAACUUUUUUAGUUUUUAAGAAAUUUUAUUUCUUCUUUUUUCUUUUAAACAAUGAUAUAAAAAAUAAAAAUUGAAGUUGAGUUUAUCGUGGGUUAUCGAUUAUACUGCAGAAUUCUCUAUUUAGAUUUAACACCGCCAUCUUAGUUAGAUUUUUUUUAUUUAAAUACUAUCUAUUUCUAUUUUAAAA
RNAcentral lists this ribosomal RNA (364 nucleotides) under Acarhis sp. Z277. Its description in RNAcentral is "partial small subunit ribosomal RNA". Lineage: Eukaryota; Metazoa; Arthropoda; Arachnida; Trombidiformes; Diptilomiopidae. The record is from RNAcentral.